This 341-nucleotide RNase P RNA is filed under the name Methanoregula sp. RNAcentral describes it as "RNase P RNA component". It matches the Rfam family "Archaeal RNase P". From Rfam's summary of the family: Ribonuclease P (RNase P) is a ubiquitous endoribonuclease, found in archaea, bacteria and eukarya as well as chloroplasts and mitochondria. Lineage: Archaea; Methanobacteriati; Methanobacteriota; Methanomicrobia; Methanomicrobiales; Methanoregulaceae. The record is from RNAcentral.
GAGAGGGAGAGAGCGGCCGACGGUGGCCAUUAUGGCUGCUGAGGAAAGUCCUCCCACCCACCGGGCACGCAGCCGUACACAAGUACGGGUGGCGAGAGUCACGGCAAUGGCACAGAAACGACACGGCCUGUUUUCAGUCAUGAAGCGAUCGAGACGUUGUACCGUCAAGUGCACACAAUUUGUGUGAUCACUCGCUGAGCGUUAACAAACAGGAAUCGGUGAAACGGCGAAUCCCUGCAGGUGCAAGUCAGAACAGGACCAAUGGAUCGCUCGGUAUCUGUCCGGGUAUGACGCAGAGCUGAAUGCCGCUAAAAACAGAAGGAGGCUUACUCCUCCCACUC